GGUUGUCGUCAGCUCGUGCCGUGAGGUGUCGGGUUAAGUCCCAUAACGAGCGCAACCCUUAUCGUUAGUUGCCAUCUGGUAAUGCAGGGGACUCUAGCGAAACUGCCACGUAAGGUGAGAGGAAGGUGGGAUGACGUCAAAUCAGCACGGCCCUUAUGUCCAGGGCUACACACGUGUUACAAUGGUCGGUACAGAGGGCAGCUACCUGGUGACAGGAUGCUAAUCUCGAAAACCGGUCUCAGUUCGGAUCGAAGUCUGCAACUCGACUUCGUGAAGCUGGAUUCGCUAGUAAUCGCGCAUCAGCUAUGGCGCGGUGAAUACGUUCCCGGGCCUU
Molecule: ribosomal RNA, 334 nt
Filed under: uncultured Sphingobacteriales bacterium
Lineage: Bacteria; Pseudomonadati; Bacteroidota; Sphingobacteriia; Sphingobacteriales
Description: bacterial SSU rRNA
Rfam family: Bacterial small subunit ribosomal RNA
Source: RNAcentral